UUGUGCUUGUCGGAGUGCCUUUAAGGCUGAGACUGUUUUUAACAGAAUCCGUUACUACCUGAUCCAGUUAAUGCUGGCGUAGGGAACAAGGUUCAUUUCGGC
Succinatimonas sp. CAG:777 is the source of this 102-nucleotide regulatory RNA element. It matches the Rfam family "TPP riboswitch aptamer (THI element)". From Rfam's summary of the family: Vitamin B(1) in its active form thiamin pyrophosphate (TPP) is an essential coenzyme that is synthesised by coupling of pyrimidine and thiazole moieties in bacteria. The previously detected thiamin-regulatory element, thi box was extended, resulting in a new, highly conserved RNA secondary structure, the THI element, which is widely distributed in eubacteria and also occurs in some archaea. Analysis of operon structures identified a large number of new candidate thiamin-regulated genes, mostly transporters, in various prokaryotic organisms. NCBI's taxonomy places the organism in Bacteria, Pseudomonadati, Pseudomonadota, Gammaproteobacteria, Aeromonadales, Succinivibrionaceae. The record is from Rfam.